CAAUAGCGUAUAUUAAAGUUGUUGCAGUUAAAAAGCUCGUAGUUGGAUUUUGAGUUUGGUAAAAUCGGUCUGCUUUCCGCAGUACUGACUUGCCUGCUCUUCUUCUCGAGGCCUAUGAGUGUACUUAACCGUGCGUUCAUAGUGUUCGGGACUUUUACCGUGAGAAAAUUAGAGUGUUCAUAGCAGGCUUUUGCUUGAAUAUUGCAGCAUGGAAUAAUGGAAUAGGAUCAUGAUCUUAUUUUGUUGGUUUCUAAGAUCAAGAUAAUGAUUAAUAGGGAUAGUUGGGGGCAUUAAUAUUUAGUUGUCAGAGGUGAAAUUCUUAGAUUUACAAAAGAUUAACUUCUGCGAAAGCAUUUGCCAAGGAUGUUUUCGUUA
This 375-nucleotide ribosomal RNA is filed under the name uncultured eukaryote. RNAcentral's name for it is "partial 18S ribosomal RNA". It matches the Rfam family "Eukaryotic small subunit ribosomal RNA", at positions 592 to 975 of the family's 1831-position model. The record is from RNAcentral.